UUCAAGGCUUAUAAUGAGGCUGGGCUAACAAGAAAAAUUAGUUUUUCUGGAUCACAAAAUCCUUGAGUCAAGAGAGCUAUUUUAACAUUCAAAGUUCAAGCACAAACUUUCUUCUUAACCAAUUCUUACUCAUUCCCAACUUCUUCCCUUUUCUUUAUCUUUACAUUGAGCUUAUCUUUCAUGCUUUUUCUUUUCUUUUCUUCUUUUUCUUUCUCAUGCUUUUUCUUUUACUCAACACUUGAGCUCAAUGCCUUUCUUUUGCCUUUCAAAUUCCCCCAAACAACCCCAAACUUGAACCU
Molecule: long non-coding RNA, 299 nt
Filed under: Vigna radiata
Lineage: Eukaryota; Viridiplantae; Streptophyta; Magnoliopsida; Fabales; Fabaceae
Description: long non-coding RNA (VRAD_LNC005046)
Source: RNAcentral